RNAcentral lists this ribosomal RNA (184 nucleotides) under uncultured soil bacterium. RNAcentral describes it as "partial 16S ribosomal RNA". It matches the Rfam family "Bacterial small subunit ribosomal RNA", at positions 329 to 505 of the family's 1533-position model. The record is from RNAcentral.
GCCCAGACUCCUACGGGAGGCAGCAGAGGGGAAUUUUGGACAAUGGGCGCAAGCCUGAUCCAGCCAUGCCGCGUGAGUGAAGAAGGCCUUCGGGUUGUAAAGCUCUUUCGGCCGGGACGAAAUCGCUUUCGCUAAUAUCGAGAGUGGAUGACGGUACCGGAAUAAGUAGCACCGGCUAACUACG